Molecule: transfer RNA, 73 nt
Filed under: Myxococcales bacterium
Lineage: Bacteria; Pseudomonadati; Myxococcota; Myxococcia; Myxococcales
Description: tRNA-Thr
Rfam family: tRNA
About the family: Transfer RNA (tRNA) molecules are approximately 80 nucleotides in length.
Source: RNAcentral
ACUGAAUUGGCGUAAUGGGAACGCAUCAGAUUUGUACUCUGAGGACUGCAGGUUCGACUCCUGUGUUCGGAUA